RNAcentral lists this ribosomal RNA (500 nucleotides) under uncultured bacterium. Its description in RNAcentral is "partial 16S ribosomal RNA". It matches the Rfam family "Bacterial small subunit ribosomal RNA", at positions 30 to 523 of the family's 1533-position model. The record is from RNAcentral.
AUUGAACGCUGGCGGCAUGCCUUACACAUGCAAGUCGAACGGCAGCACGGGAGCAAUCCUGGUGGCGAGUGGCGAACGGGUGAGUAAAGUAUCGGAACGUGCCCAGUCGUGGGGGAUAACGUAGCGAAAGUUACGCUAAUACCGCAUACGAUCUAUGGAUGAAAGCGGGGGAUCGCAAGACCUCGCGCGAUUGGAGCGGCCGAUAUCAGAUUAGGGAGUUGGUGGGGUAAAGGCUCACCAAGCCGACGAUCUGUAGAUGGUCUGAGAGGACGACCAGCCACACUGGGACUGAGACACGGCCCAGACUCCUACGGGAGGCAGCAGUGGGGAAUUUUGGACAAUGGGCGAAAGCCUGAUCCAGCCAUGCCGCGUGCAGGAUGAAGGCCUUCGGGUUGUAAACUGCUUUUGUACGGAACGAAAAGGUUUGGGCUAAUAAGCUGAGCUCAUGACGGUACCGUAAGAAUAAGCACCGGCUAACUACGUGCCAGCCGCCGCAGUAA